Long non-coding RNA from Prionailurus viverrinus (fishing cat), 595 nucleotides. RefSeq lists it as uncharacterized. The transcript is spliced from 3 exons. Lineage: Eukaryota; Metazoa; Chordata; Mammalia; Carnivora; Felidae. The record is from RefSeq and is a predicted model, not a curated record.
GCUUCCUGUUGCUGCUAGCCUCUGAUGCCCACCAUCCCCUGUCCUUAAUCCUAACCACACUUCUCUAUAGAGCCGCUUCAUGAAAGUCUCUUCGUUAAAACCUGAGAAGAUGGGGUGAAGUUUCUGACUGGAAGCAUAAGAAGAAUAACUAGAUAUCCUCUAUCCUCCUGUGUCUCUCAAAGCCCGUCCCCUGCAGAGACCAUGCAUCUUCCUUCACUCUUUCAUGCUGGAAGUGGUACAGCAGUCAGCUCCGUUGUGAAAGAGAAGAAACAUUGCUGAAAUAAUCAUGGACUGCUCCAUGGAAAAAUCAGGAACUGAGCUGGGACCUGAAAUAAGGCUUGGAAAGCUGAAAAAGAAGACAGGGCUGCACUCAGACCAAGGAAACAUUAGCAAAGGGAGGGGGUUAAGAAUGAAUAUGGUAUGUCCAUGGAAUAAUAAGAAGGCCAGUAGGACUUCAACAGUUCCCUAAAGUCAUGUUACAUGGAGAGGAUGUGAGUGGAUAUGGAGAGACUCAGAAGCCUGACAUGGAAUGUAGACUUGCUUCUAUGGAAAUAGGGUCACUUUUUAAAAAAUGAAGAUGAAACAAUGAAUAAUA